This 503-nucleotide ribosomal RNA is filed under the name uncultured bacterium. RNAcentral's name for it is "partial 16S ribosomal RNA". It matches the Rfam family "Bacterial small subunit ribosomal RNA", at positions 30 to 523 of the family's 1533-position model. The record is from RNAcentral.
AUUGAACGCUGGCGGCAGGCUUAACACAUGCAAGUCGAGCGGGGUGAUGGUGCUUGCACUAUCACUUAGCGGCGGACGGGUGAGUAAUGCUUAGGAAUCUGCCUAUUAGUGGGGGACAACAUCUCGAAAGGGAUGCUAACACCGCAUACGUCCUACGGGAGAAAGCAGGGGAUCACUUGUGACGUUGCGCUAAUAGAUGAGCCUAAGUGGGAUUAGCUAGUUGGUGGGGUAAAGGCCUACCAAGGCGACGAUCUGUAGCGGGUCGGAGAGGAUGAGCCGCCACACUGGGACUGAGACACGGCCCAGACUCCUACGGGAGGCAGCAGUGGGGAAUAUUGGACAAUGGGGGGAACCCUGAUCCAGCCAUGCCGCGUGUGUGAAGAAGGCCUUAUGGUUGUAAAGCACUUUAAGCGAGGAGGAGGCUCUUUUGGUUAAUACCCAAGAUGAGUGGACGUUACUCGCAGAAUAAGCACCGGCUAACUCUGUGCCAGCCGCCGCCGUAA